GUGGGGAAUAUUGGGCAAUGGGGGCAACCCUGACCCAGUGACGCCGCGUGGGUGAAGAAAUCCUUCGGGAUGUAAAGCUCUUUUACCCGGGAAGAUAAUGACUGUACCGGGAGAAUAAGCCCCGGCUAACUCCGUGCCAGCAGCCGCGGUAAUACGGAGGGGGCUAGCGUUGUUCGGAAUUACUGGGCGUAAAGCGCACGUAGGCGGCUUUGUAAGUCAGAGGUGAAAGCCUGGAGCUCAACUCCAGAACUGCCUUUGAGACUGCAUCGCUUGAAUCCAGGAGAGGUGAGUGGAAUUCCGAGUGUAGAGGUGAAAUUCGUAGAUAUUCGGAAGAACACCAGUGGCGAAGGCGGCUCACUGGACUGGUAUUGACGCUGAGGUGCGAAAGCGUGGGGAGCAAACAGGAUUAGAAACCCUUGUAGUCC
This 425-nucleotide ribosomal RNA is filed under the name uncultured bacterium. Its description in RNAcentral is "partial 16S ribosomal RNA". It matches the Rfam family "Bacterial small subunit ribosomal RNA", at positions 354 to 796 of the family's 1533-position model. The record is from RNAcentral.